This 66-nucleotide transfer RNA is filed under the name Blepharipoda liberata. RNAcentral describes it as "tRNA-Ile". The record is from RNAcentral. Lineage: Eukaryota; Metazoa; Arthropoda; Malacostraca; Decapoda; Blepharipodidae.
GAUAUAAUGCCUGAUAAAAGGAUAACAUUGAUAGUGUUAAUUAUAUAGUUUAAACUAUUUAUAUCU